Molecule: unclassified non-coding RNA, 1702 nt
Filed under: Owenia fusiformis
Lineage: Eukaryota; Metazoa; Annelida; Polychaeta; Sabellida; Oweniidae
Description: dNA repair protein RAD51 homolog 3
Source: RNAcentral
GGAUAUUGGGGCACAAGCACUUUGCCGGGAAUUUUGAUUUCGAGAGUUUAUUUAUAUAUUAUACGAAUUAUCGGUGAUAUUAUUACAGAAUAACAAUGAAAAUGCAUAAUCAAGGAGUUAAAGUAGUAAAAUGAUUUUCAAUGAAAUAUAAUGGAGUUUGAGUCGCAUGGAAAAAUGACUGAACGUCUUUGAAUUUUGGAAAAUUCACAUAUUAUCGCUCAUACAGUUUAUAAAUCAGUAUGCAGAGGGAACUUAGUAGCUUCCCCAUUCAACCCUCUUUGAUGUCAAAACUUACAAAAGCUGGAUUUACUACUGUAGAAGAUCUCACUGAUUUGAAACCACUUCAACUGAGUCAAGAACUGUCAAUAUCUAAUGAAGAGGCUCUGGAUCUACUGAACCUUGUGCGAGGUGAACAUCCAUCCAAAUUGAAACUUAAACAGACAACAAGUUUUACAGCUUUUGAUAUGCUUCAGAAUGAAGAGAGCCAGCAAUGUAUUGUAACAUUCUCAGAGCAACUUGACAAUAUGCUUGGUGGGGGGCUCCCAGUUUGUAAGAUUACAGAAUUCUGCGGUGCUCCUGGUGCAGGGAAAACCCAAAUAAGCAUCCAGUUGUCUGUUGACGUUCAGAUCCCUACUUGUUUUGGUGGGCUACAGGGUGAGGCUGUUUAUAUUGAUACAGAGGGGAGCUUUGUCGCAGCUAGGGCUGCAGAUAUUGCCAAAGCUACAGUGGAGCAUUGCAGUAAUAUUGCACAGGCUGAGAAUAAUGAAGAACAGCUGAAGUCAAUGGAGGCAUUCACUUGGGAAAGUGUCUUAGCAGGAAUUCACUACUAUAGGUGUAAUGACUAUCUACAACUGCUAGCUACAGUUCACCUUCUACCAGAAUUUCUCACUCAACAUCCAAAGGUCAAGUUAAUUGUAGUUGACAGUAUAGCAUUCCACUUCAGACAUGAUUUUGAUGACUUCUCACUGAGGACCAGAAUCCUGAAUGGCAUGGCACAGAGCUUUAUUAAACUUGCAACUCAGCUGAAUCUAGCAGUUAUGCUGACGAACCAAAUGACGACUCGAGUGAACGCAGAUGGAGGGUCACACCUCACCCCUGCUCUGGGAGAAAGCUGGGGGCAUGCAAGUACCAUCAGGGUGAUACUAUACUGGCGAGAUAGACAGAGAUAUGCAAGACUAUACAAGUCACCCUCAAAGCAAGAUAUGACAGUGCCAUUCCAAGUGACAUUGGGCGGAAUCAGAGAUGUGAAAACAAGUGAAGACCAAAGUCAUAAUAUGCAAGGUGCCAGUACAUCACAACAUAAACCUCAGUCCAAUUAUGAACAAAAUACAAAUGAACAUAAUACUAAGAAUGCCCAAUAUCAGACAGCAUCAUCUAGUGAACCUUAUCAUACUGGGGGUACGGAAAGAGCAUAUGGAAGUGGACAAGAUCGGAAAAGGUCAAGAAUUGAUUCCUGAUGUAAUACUACAUACUUGGUGUAUUUAGACAUCCAUCUUAUGAAAACCUCUGUUGGGUUGGCCAAAAACAAAUUUUAUAAGGAAACCUCACCCAAGAUGGACUGUAUGAGACAAAAUCGCAAGAGGCCAAGAUUUGAUUCCUGGUGUAUUUACAUUUAAUUAGAUAUCAAUUUUAUAAAAUCCUCAGUCUGGUUGGCCAAAUUAAGUAAAACCUCAUCCUAGAUGGACUGUAUAAGAGACAACAU